GCCAUGCCUUAAGGAACGCGAUGUCAGGAUUAGCUAGUUGGUGAGGUAAAGGCUCACCAAGGCGACGAUCCGUAGCUGGUCUGAGAGGACGACCAGCCACACUGGAACUGAGACACGGYCCAGACUCCUACGGGAGGCAGCAGUGGGGAAUUUUGGACAAUGGGCGCAAGCCUGAUCCAGCCAUGCCGCGUGAGUGAAGAAGGCCUUCGGGUUGUAAAGCUCUUUCGCACGGAAAGAAAACUUAUCUCCUAAUACUAGGUGAGGUUGACGGUACCUUGAUAAGAAGCACCGGCUAACUACGUGCCAGCAGCCGCGGUAAUACGUAGGGUGCGAGCGUUAAUCGGAAUUACUGGGCGUAAAGCGUGCGCAGGCGGUUUUGUAAGUCAGAUGUGAAAUCCCCGGGCUCAACCUGGGAACUGCGUUUGAAACUACAAAAGCUAGGAGUU
This 446-nucleotide ribosomal RNA is filed under the name uncultured ammonia-oxidizing bacterium. RNAcentral describes it as "bacterial SSU rRNA". It matches the Rfam family "Bacterial small subunit ribosomal RNA", at positions 212 to 649 of the family's 1533-position model. The record is from RNAcentral.